AUACCUUUCUCGGCCUUUUGGCUAAGAUCAAGUGUAGUAUCUGUUCUUAUCAGUUUAAUAUCUGAUAUGUGGGCCAUGUGUCCACAAUGGUAUUAAAUUUAUUUUUUAAGGGGAGGAUCCAACAUGAUAGCUUGCUACCGGGGCCCUCACGUGUCGCCUAGGCGUUGCACUAUUGCCUAUGCCAAUCCCAACCAA
Triticum aestivum (bread wheat) is the source of this 195-nucleotide non-coding RNA. NCBI's taxonomy places the organism in Eukaryota, Viridiplantae, Streptophyta, Magnoliopsida, Poales, Poaceae. The record is from Rfam.